RNAcentral lists this non-coding RNA (29 nucleotides) under Cricetulus griseus (Chinese hamster). The record is from RNAcentral. Lineage: Eukaryota; Metazoa; Chordata; Mammalia; Rodentia; Cricetidae.
GUGGACUGGAGAGAUGGCCCAGAGGUUAA